This 458-nucleotide ribosomal RNA is filed under the name uncultured bacterium. RNAcentral's name for it is "partial 16S ribosomal RNA". It matches the Rfam family "Bacterial small subunit ribosomal RNA", at positions 338 to 795 of the family's 1533-position model. The record is from RNAcentral.
CCUACGGGAGGCAGCAGUGAGGAAUAUUGGUCAAUGGGCGAGAGCCUGAACCAGCCAAGUCGCGUGAGGGAGUACUGCCCUAUGGGUUGUAAACCUCUUUUGUCGGGGAGCAAAAGCCGGACGUGUCCGGCUGUGAGAGUACCCGAAGAAAAAGCAUCGGCUAACUCCGUGCCAGCAGCCGCGGUAAUACGGAGGAUGCGAGCUUUAUCCGGAUUUAUUGGGUUAAAAGGGUGCGCAGGCGGAUUUUUAAGUCAGCGGUAAAAUCGUGGGGCUCAACCCCAUCCAGCCGUUGAAACUGGGGAUCUAGAGUGUGCGAGAGGUAUGCGGAAUGCGUGGUGUAGCGGUGAAAUGCAUAGAUAUCACGCAGAACCCCGAUUGCGAAGGCAGCAUACCGGUGCACAACUGACGCUCAGGCACGAAAGCGUGGGUAUCGAACAGGAUUAGAUACCCCGGUAGUC